CCCUUAGAUGUUCUGGGCCGCACGCGCGCUACACUGACAGGGCCAGCGAGUACAUCACCUUGGCCGAGAGGUCUGGGUAAUCUUGUUAAACCCUGUCGUGCUGGGGAUAGAGCAUUGCAAUUAUUGCUCUUCAACGAGGAAUGCCUAGUAGGCACAAGUCAUCAGCUUGUGCCGAUUACGUCCCUGCCCUUUGUACACACCGCCCGUCGCUCCUACCGAUCGAAGAGUUAGGUGAAUUGUUUUGAUCGAUAAGAUUUGACUAUGGUCAACUCUCGUUGUGAAAUUCUGUGAAUCUGACUGUUUAGAGGAAGGAAAAGUCGUAACA
This 325-nucleotide ribosomal RNA is filed under the name uncultured eukaryote. RNAcentral describes it as "partial 18S ribosomal RNA". It matches the Rfam family "Eukaryotic small subunit ribosomal RNA", at positions 1470 to 1796 of the family's 1831-position model. The record is from RNAcentral.